GUUUGGUUUUGGUUCAGUGGUAGAAUGCUCGCCUGCCACGCGGGCGGCCCCGGGUUCGAUUCCCGGUCGAUGCA
This 74-nucleotide transfer RNA is filed under the name Cordylochernes scorpioides. RNAcentral describes it as "tRNA-Gly". The stretch from base 10 to 66 matches the Rfam family "tRNA", at positions 8 to 63 of the family's 71-position model. From Rfam's summary of the family: Transfer RNA (tRNA) molecules are approximately 80 nucleotides in length. Their secondary structure includes four short double-helical elements and three loops (D, anti-codon, and T loops). Further hydrogen bonds mediate the characteristic L-shaped molecular structure. tRNAs have two regions of fundamental functional importance: the anti-codon, which is responsible for specific mRNA codon recognition, and the 3' end, to which the tRNAs corresponding amino acid is attached (by aminoacyl-tRNA synthetases). tRNAs cope with the degeneracy of the genetic code in two manners: having more than one tRNA (with a specific anti-codon) for a particular amino acid; and 'wobble' base-pairing, i.e. permitting non-standard base-pairing at the 3rd anti-codon position. The record is from RNAcentral. Lineage: Eukaryota; Metazoa; Arthropoda; Arachnida; Pseudoscorpiones; Chernetidae.